RNAcentral lists this transfer RNA (77 nucleotides) under Acholeplasmataceae bacterium. Its description in RNAcentral is "tRNA-Arg". It matches the Rfam family "tRNA". From Rfam's summary of the family: Transfer RNA (tRNA) molecules are approximately 80 nucleotides in length. Their secondary structure includes four short double-helical elements and three loops (D, anti-codon, and T loops). Lineage: Bacteria; Bacillati; Mycoplasmatota; Mollicutes; Acholeplasmatales; Acholeplasmataceae. The record is from RNAcentral. RNAcentral also lists the same sequence under 1 other name.
GGCCCGAUAGCUCAGCUGGAUAGAGCAGCGGCUUCCGGAGCCGUCGGUCGGGGGUUCGAAUCCCUUUCGGGUCGCCA